UUUGUUUGUAAGUUUUUUUUAGAGAGAGAGUGAGAGAGAGAGAUGAGAGAAAGUCUCUUGAUUGCUAGGGAUUUUAUCUUUGUUCUUCAUCUCUCAAAUUCCUGAUUUGAGAAUUGUGAUUUGUAGUAUUUAGUCUCUGAAUUGUGAUAAUCUGAGUGAAUGUUUGCAAGAAUGAGAGGAUUCUUUUGAGUUGUUAUUUUAGAGCGGUUUGAGAAGAUUCUUGGUAACUCUUCAUGGAUCGGACAUUGUUCUUGAGAGAUAAGUGUUCUUGUGCUAUCUCAGUGUAUUGGUUAAAUAUUUGUAAUAUUUGUUGCCAUUUUUUGGUUAUUUAGUGCAAUCGAGUAUAAUCCAAUUUAUAAGAUGCUCAACGGGGAAUGUAGGUAGUGGAUAUGAUAGCCGAACUUUUGGGGUUUAGGUCGAAAAUAGUCUCUUGUACUCAAUCUUUAAAUUCUGCACAUUUUAUUUUUUGUAAGAUCAUUUUAUUUUGCUUCUCAACACUAAUACUGGAUGAACCUAACCUUACAAAUCCACAUCAAGAUGGGCCAAAAAAGGCCAGAGAGCAAUGUGACGAACUUUUCUCGACUGACCACAAAAGCCAAGCCAACAUGAGUACGUAAGCAGGCAAUCCAUGGCCUCUAUUCAAGUGCCUUGGAUUCUGUCUACUCCCCUAACUAUAUAUUUACUUUUUCUUUUGUUAUUUUAUGACCUAAAUUUCGUUGGAUGUUUGUGGAUUUGUUGAAAGAGGUGCUAAAAGAAGUUUUGAAAUAGACAUUGGGCACUUGGAAUCAAUUUGGACCGAAAUUCAGCUUCAUUGACGCGCUAUCGCUGCUGCUUGCCCAUAGCUGGAGCGCUGCUCGCUUGGGUCGAGGUUGUUACUAAAACGACAUGUAUAUUCGAGGAAAAUUUAUUUAUUUCUUUUGACACGAUUUUUUUUAUCCUCUUUCCAUCCAAAAUUUUUUUUUUUUUGGGAUCCUAUAUAUAAUCCAUGUGAUUCUUGGUUUUGACAUAACUUUCUAUGAGUUAGAAUUAAGUUAGAAACUAAAUAUUUUGUAUUUG
This 1056-nucleotide long non-coding RNA is filed under the name Olea europaea subsp. europaea. The record is from RNAcentral. Lineage: Eukaryota; Viridiplantae; Streptophyta; Magnoliopsida; Lamiales; Oleaceae.